ACAGCAAUACUGUAAUGGAUGAGAAAUCACAGUUUUCCCUUAGGGGAUGCAUAUUACCCCUCCCCCCCUACUACCAACUCACACAAUCAGUUUGACAGCUUGCCCAGAGCAGACGUGUCAUUUGAUUGGAGCUUAGCGCGUUUUUGGCGGUGUUUUUUUAACUUUCGCCGACGGUCAUGGCGACGGUCGUGACGGCGGAGAGUUAGCAGCAGCCUUAGCAGUUCACGCCAUCAAGCGGAAGCAGCAGCUUCUCGCCGUCGAUGAGACACCGUUCGUUAUACUCUUCCUCAAGGGGCACACCAGUCUCAAGGAGUUGAGCCGAGGUGAAGAAAGUGGGACCAGUCGUCGUCCGGUGAGUGGCCUACCGGAACAAAGAACCACACGUGACCCAGUGCAAGAACUGCUUGCAGUUCGGUCACGGAACCAGUAACUGCCAUCUCAAGCCCAGGUGCAGCAGCUGUGGGGGUGCCCACAGCACAGAAAAGUGCAAAGCAGAAGAAACGCAAGCCAAGAAGUGUGUGUGAACUGCUCUGGAUCUCACGAGGGACCGCAGCUGUCCCAAACGUGCGCAGUUCAUCCAGUCGAGGCAGCAGGCAUCCAAGCCGAAACCGCCAGUAUGGAAAAAGGACAAACACACUCCGGCAGGAGCCGUGUUUACCGCGGCGGAUUUUCCUCCGCUACCUGUGGUGCCGUCCGUCGAGCCGGGAGAUAAACAUCCUCGUCCCGCAGGAAGAAGUAGCGAAAAUACUGGCACCGGCGCCGGUGCAACCCCGUGGAAGCAACAAGGUGAACGGAAGCUGUACAGUGAGUCGGAGCUGUGAACCGUUUACCGAGAAUACAGAGUUCGCUUGAGGCAGUGCAAGACACCCGAGGAACAGAUUGAUGUGAUCGCACACUUGUUGACACAUGGCACGAGAAAAUGAUCAUCUUCUUUUUAUUUUGUGUUGUAUUUUUGUAUUAUUGUUCCUCGGUCCUAACCUGGUCGCAGCACCUAAAAGGACCUAAUAAAAAUAAGUUAUCAGAAAAAAAAUCACCCCUUGGCCACCAAGCUGUUGGUGACAGUUUCGACGAGUGCUUUGACAUCAUGAAACGAAGAGCUAGUAGGAUUCACGGAAUGGUUGAAAUGGAAGAAGCUGCAGCUGAACAUCGCGAAGACGAAGUGCAUGAUAGUGACGACACGGCAAACCAACGACUGCAGACGGUGUGUACAGAUGGAUGGAGGAUUUGUGGAGCGGGUUGAGACGAUGAAGUACCGCGGAGUCAUGUUGGACGAAAAGUUGAAUUUCAACGAACAUAUUGACUAUACUAUUCGGAAGGCAGCACGGAAGUUUGGUGUUCUGUGUAGGAUCAAUCGCUACUUGACGGCAGAGACGAAAGUUCAGGUGUACAAUUCGCUCAUCGCUCCUCACUUUGACUAUUGUUCAUCGAUCUUGUUUCUGGGAACACAACUGGGAAGCGCCACAAUACUUGAAAGAAGCCAUGGUAUGCGGAAGGGAUAUCCAUGAGCAUGUCACUAGAGGAGCUGACGAUCUCAGAUUGCAGAACUGGAAAAAGGCAUGCACGCAGAAAUCUCUGUUUUACAAAGGAUUUAAACUUUACAACCAGCUUCCAGAGAAUGCAAAGACGACAAGCAACAUCAACGAGUUUAAAAGAAACUGCAAGGAGUUCGUACGGACACGGCCGUUGGAGUAGAAGUGACCCACGAUGGUACUGUGAGGUAGAGCAUGUUAUGACGGUCGGCCACUUCAUUAUCGGUACGCAUUCGCAUGGGAUCACUUUGGGCCGCAUAUGAUAAACCUGAUCAAAAGUAACACGAAUCUGGGCGCGGUUUAACCCUAUGCGCUCCUAUGCGAGUGGAAUAGCAAAUGGUUCCAAUACCCUAAAUUUGAUGCAAUCUGAGUGAUGAAAGAGUCUACAUAGGACUUCCCAAGUAACCACAAGCACUAAAUCAAAACUCUAAAUUCACUCUAAAUAAACAUUCCCCGUGCUAUGACACUUUAAAUAGUCUUUUCAAAUGUUUCGAAACAUUUGUAGCUUGAAGCAUUAUUACCUACUGUAUAAUAACAUAUAGAACAGCCAAUUAAAGUUUCAAAGCUUUUAGCACAAUAAUGUUUUGAAGCAUUAAUGGUAAGCUUUAUAUAUCACUGUAAAGUAGGCCUAUAAUGUUACAUCACACUUUGACAUUUCAUAAAUGUUUCAAAACACUAACUCAACUCUAGUGAUGGCAAUAAAAGUUUGGCAGUAUUUCGCCGUAUUUUUUUUUGUUUAUGGUUGGAAAAAUCGUUCCGCGUCUAUAAAAAGCUGCGAUGGCAAAAACAAAAUCCGUAAAGGAGGAGGUCCAGGUUUUGCUGUGUGAUCGAACCCUUAAAAAAAACCUUCGUCCACGUCACGGAUCAUUCCGGCAAGGAAACUGGAUGGCGCGUCAUCGGCGGCAAGAAGUGACGAGAUUUCGCUCUACGCCGCUCCGUUGGCCGCUCAAGACGUCGUUGAAAAGUCGCACAGAAUCACCACGGCGCGCACACCGGCGGAAGCCGCUCCAUGACCCCAGGAACGGGUGCCUAGUCGGUACUCUGAGCCCUGGCCGCAUCGAAAACAUGAUGCCGAUUCCCGUCCGAUUUGCCUCGCCGAAGGGAGGUCGCUACGAGAGAGAGUGCUGACAUUUUUGUGGUAGCUUUUUGUGACGCUGUGCGUGUUUUCUUUUACACACUCAGAAAUGUAAUUAAUGAGGAAUAAAGGAUAAAAUAGAUUAAAAAUACAAGUGCGCGAUAUCGUGAUUAACCUUUGUAGCUUAGUGAAGAAUAAAUGCUCCGAUUUAACCUGCCAGGUGUUUUUAUUUUCCCUGAACAAAAUAAAGUUGUUCUGACUGACUGUAUCGAAAAACAUCAACUGUUCAUCCAUAUUUCAGAACGGACGAGACGGUUGGCGCAGCACAUCAAGGAGAAACAUGUCAUAUAAAUCCAAUUCAAUACGCUGUUUAGAAUCUCCAAUGUAGAGGAACUCAACAAAAAAACACACAAAUAAGCUUUCAAAAACAUAAUCUCUGCGUGAAAAGCACUCUCCCCAGAAAGAGAGAGGUGCGCAAAGCUUUUUGAAUGUUUCUAUUUUUAAUAUUGUCGGUAAAGCAGUAUUUUGACAUUUUACCACGGUAUAACUUUAUAUCAACUCUACCCGUCGCCACUCAAUUUUACCUCCAUGCGUAUAGAGUGAAUAUAAAGUUUUGAGACUCUAUUGGAAUACUUUAUAUGUUGAUAUAGAGGGGACUUAAAGUUACCUUAUACAGU
Long non-coding RNA from Culex pipiens pallens (northern house mosquito), 3281 nucleotides. RefSeq lists it as uncharacterized. NCBI's taxonomy places the organism in Eukaryota, Metazoa, Arthropoda, Insecta, Diptera, Culicidae. The transcript has 3 exons. The record is from RefSeq and is a predicted model, not a curated record.